AGGGAGCAGAAGGGGAAGGGCCAAGGGAGUUUGUCAACCUACGUACGUAAGCUAGCAAUAGGCUAAUUAUGCAACAUAUUACCAGAUGUAAAGGGUAAAAAUCAUUGUCUCUGUGUAGCCUAUCAAUGUUAAAGAAAGAGUAAAAAUUGUCUCUGUGUAAACUAUCAAUCAGUGUUGUGUUGUUUGAGACCACCUAAAGUGAGACUGAUUCAAGACGAGGACCAGAGCAAAUCGAGUCCGAGUUAAGACCAAGACCGGAGUGGGGGCACAACCGAGUCAAAACCGAUAAAGAGGGGAUCAAGGGGUCUGAAACAGAGUCGAGACCAGAGAAAUAUACUAAUCGCACUGGUACAACCCUGUACGGGUGGCUGACUGAGAUAACAUAUACACUGAACAUAUACACUGAAAUUCCUAAAAUACAUACACCCGACCCCCUUCGGGAUGGGCUACAAAGACAAAGAACUCUGUCGAGAACCAAUGGGAUAUGGACACCAGGCUGGAGGGGACUGUCUAUCACCUAUAAGCAACCUACCAGAAGCCAGGACUACCAGAAUCUACCUACGUCAUUUCAAUGUAUUAAAGGGACUGCACAUCAUGUUUUCGGCCUCUCUUUCCGACGGUUCCAUAAGAGCUAGACGAACGGGGCCGUGCAGCACGCUUUGCCAAAUAUCAUUACGCUUGAAUAAACAGUCUUUUAUUAUACCUUA
Molecule: long non-coding RNA, 707 nt
Organism: Oncorhynchus keta (chum salmon)
Lineage: Eukaryota; Metazoa; Chordata; Actinopteri; Salmoniformes; Salmonidae
Exons: 2
Source: RefSeq, a predicted model, not a curated record